ACCAAUUACCUAUCUAGCUUUCUAAUCUUAACUAUUACAACAUGAAAUGACCAAAUAAACAUUCUGACCACAAAUUUCCAAAUCAAGCAAUCAUCUGAUCAUUACGCUUGAAACCAGUUUUUAACUAGUUUCAACAUGAAUCUGAACCUUGACUUCGAGAGUGAACAUGCUUACAAAAUAGAGUCUGGGUAAAUUGAUAUACAUACAAGCCAAUACUUAGCAUUUCAAUGAAUUCAAAUGGUCAUCACACCUAAAACUACAUUGAUCUUCAGCAUAAACUAAACAAAGGUAUACAACCCCCAAAGCAUUAAAUUAAACCUCUGUGACAAAGCCUUAACAACUCCUUUACCCAGCACACACUCGAACUCAUUAGAAGAAAACUAAAUAGCUAGAGUUCAUAGUUUAUUUAUCACUACAAAAACAGAUUUGCUACUAUAGGUUCAGAGAAUAAAGAUUCAGAAAAAAGGAAGGAGAUGAACUAAAUUAUGAAUAACAAACUAAUGCUAAGCGCUACAAUUCCAUUUUUCAUUUCACCCUUCAAGUCAAGCAUUCACCUUAUACAAGUUGUAGAGCGUGUACCUGGAAAUUGACAAGGAAAAGAAGUGAACACUCAACAGUAAACAGCAGCAAAAGACAGCCCCAGAUUCAACCAAUUGAAUAAUGAAAUUAGCUCAUGAAUGUCAAUGGAACAUUAGGAAAAAAAUCCCAAAAAAAAACAGCUCUAAACCAACUCUUGAAGUCCCAGAUUCAAGAUCUUUCUAAUCCGAGCUAUGACAUGAAAAUAACAUUUUCAGCAAAUUUUUUAACCAACAUCGGAAAUCCAGAAGCUGAAUUUUAAUGUAAUUCAAGCAGCUUCAACAAAAGAGCCCAGAACAUCAAGUGUUAUUUCAGAAUGCACUCCCCAAAAAAUUCCCAGCCAUUUUAGUUUUCAGAUUUUUUCUCCCCUCUAGCCGUUUCUCUGUUUUUUAUUUUUUUUAGCCCUCUCCAAUCUGCCUUGAGUUCUAAGUAACAAUGCCUUUAUAGGCAAGCUACUAGGGCUCCCUUAAAGAAUUCGAAAUUGCCCUUAAAACCUUCUGAAGUUUUCACUUUAGCUUAGCAAACCCUGGUGUAAACUUCAGAAUUCCAAAAUAGCCCCCAUCCCAGCUUCCUAGAAGCUUCCCAAUUCUAUUGCAAAUAGAUUCCCUUACUAAGACUACCCAAACUACCCUCCAUAUCCCUGUUUAUUACCCCUAAAACCUGUGGGUAUGGGCCAUGGGUCAAUGACCCAAUUUUUUGAAACAAAAAUGAAUUGGAUUUUAACCCAAACUCACCCCGCAAGAUCAGAAACCCAAACAGCUCCAAUUAUCACUUGCCCCAUUAUCAAAUUCCAACCCAAAAUAGCACAUGCCAACUUGUUUUAUCAACUUAAGAAAUUAGCCUAAGUAAUUUACUAAUUCAACAUUAACCAAACUAACAAUUUUAGGCCAGAACUCCACCUACUCAUGCAUGAAUUGAAGAACUCUGGGACGGAAAAAAAAUGAAAAACCACACAAGAAGAAAGGAAAGAACAGAGACUAAAAAAAGGAGGAAAGAAUAGACCAGAGGCAGAAGAGUGAAUACUUACUACAGUUCAGAUCAAGAGAAGAUAGUCUUGAGUCAUCAAACCUUCGGAUUUCCGGUCAAAUGUGAUAUUAAUCGCAUGUUCUCAUAGAGAACAAACGAAUAAAAUCACACUAGAGCCAAAACAUCUGCAGAAUCUUGAUUAGGAUUUUAGGGCUCAACUUAUAUUCAAGAUUCGGGGAGUUCCAUUAAGAUUCGAGGGUAAUGGGUUGGAUAUUUGGGAUGGGGAAGACGUGGUGGUUCUGUGGUGUAUUUUUGGAGUGAUUUGGGAGGAGUUAUGUUUUGGGUCCGAUCUUCGAUCUAAUAUUCAAAGGGUUUGGCUGAGAUUCGAGGGAGAUGGUUUGGGGUUUUGGAAUGGGGAGAUGGAGGGGAAUCAAGGGUGUAAAUUUGGGGUCGAUUGGAGUACCGCCACCGACGGAGACAAUUUCCGGUAGGCGGUUCCGGCGGGGGUGAUGAGGCUCUGGUGAAGGAG
RNAcentral lists this long non-coding RNA (2071 nucleotides) under Nicotiana tabacum (common tobacco). RNAcentral describes it as "long non-coding RNA (NTAB_LNC010174)". Lineage: Eukaryota; Viridiplantae; Streptophyta; Magnoliopsida; Solanales; Solanaceae. The record is from RNAcentral.